RNAcentral lists this ribosomal RNA (497 nucleotides) under uncultured bacterium. RNAcentral's name for it is "partial 16S ribosomal RNA". It matches the Rfam family "Bacterial small subunit ribosomal RNA", at positions 28 to 507 of the family's 1533-position model. The record is from RNAcentral.
GAUGAACGCUGGCGGCGUGCCUAAUACAUGCAAGUCGAGCGAACGGACGAGAAGCUUGCUUCUCUGAUGUUAGCGGCGGACGGGUGAGUAACACGUGGAUAACCUACCUAUAAGACUGGGAUAACUUCGGGAAACCGUAGCUAAUACCGGAUAAUAUUUUGAACCGCAUGGUUCAAAAGUGAAAGACGGUCUUGCUGUCACUUAUAGAUGGAUCCGCGCUGCAUUAGCUAGUUGGUAAGGUAACGGCUUACCAAGGCAACGAUGCAUAGCCGACCUGAGAGGGUGAUCGGCCACACUAGAACUGAGACACGGUCCAGACUCCUACGGGAGGCAGCAGUAGGGACUCUUCCGCAAUGAGCGAAAGCCUGACGAAGCAACGCCGCGUGAGUGAUGAAGGUCUUCGGAUCGUAAAACUCUGUUAUUAGGGAAGAACAUAUGUGUAAGUAACUGUGCACAUCUUGACGGUACCUAAUCAGAAAGCCACGGCUAACUACGUG